CAAUAGCGUAUAUUAAAGCUGUUGCGGUUAAAAAGCUCGUAGUUGGAUUUCUGUCAAGGACAACUGGUCCGCCCUCCGGGUGAGCACAUAGUUUGGUCUUGGCAUCUUGCUGGAAGCUGGUGCUGCACUUGGCUGUGUGGCGCAGCGUCCAGCACUUUCACUUUGAGGAAAUUGGAGUGUUUCAAGCAGGCACAUGCCUUUGGACACAGUAGCAUGGAAUAAUUAGAUUGGGCUUUUGCUCCAAUUUGUCGGUUUCUGGAGCUGAGGUGAGAAUUAAUGGGGAUUGUUGGGGGCAUCCGAAUUUAGCCGUCAGAGGUGAAAUUCUUGGAUCUGCUAAAGACGGACAACUGCGAAAGCGUUUGCCCAGGAUGUUUUCAUUGA
This 381-nucleotide ribosomal RNA is filed under the name uncultured eukaryote. RNAcentral describes it as "partial 18S ribosomal RNA". It matches the Rfam family "Eukaryotic small subunit ribosomal RNA", at positions 592 to 976 of the family's 1831-position model. The record is from RNAcentral.